Long non-coding RNA from Daktulosphaira vitifoliae (grape phylloxera), 705 nucleotides. RefSeq lists it as uncharacterized. The transcript is spliced from 2 exons. Lineage: Eukaryota; Metazoa; Arthropoda; Insecta; Hemiptera; Phylloxeridae. The record is from RefSeq and is a predicted model, not a curated record.
ACUUAUUCAAAAAUGAACAUAUCAAUAUAAUUUUUGACUUUAUAAUGCUAUAACUUUUUGAAAGAUGUAUGGAUCAAUAUAAUUCUUUUUUUAUAUAGAUGCUUGAUGUUUUUACCUAUCAUUUGGUAUAUUUUUUUUGUAAAUUUGACCUUUUUUCUGCCCACAGGGGGGGAUUUAAAAUGACAACUUUUUCACAAAAAAUUAACUUUUUCAACUUAACUUUUGAAAAUGUUCCGGAAGGUCUGACACUUUUAUAUAUAUCUUAAAUUAAAGCUAAUGUAAUAUACUUUAAUUUGAAAAAAAAAAAUUUGACCUCUGGACUUUUCUUCGCGGCGAAAAUGGCUACCGAAUGCUAUUUUCGUGUGAUAAUUCUCGAUUUUAUUAUUCAUAUUAUAUUUAACUUUAUAAUGCUAUAACUUAUUGAAAAGUUUAUGGAUCCACACAAUUUUUUUAUGAGAAAUAAUUUUUUUUAAUAAACCCUUUUUCAUUCGACAUACUUUAUCUUAAUCGAGAUAUUAAGGAACCAGCAGAUCAAGUAGCUUUUGGAAUAAAACACCAAUUUUUUUAAAAUUAAACACUAUCUAAAGAUUUGCAUCGAAGCGUUUAUUUUUGAUAGUGAUUUUAAUCACUGUCAGAUAUCAUUAUACUUGAUCCAACUAUACCACGUCACAACUGUGCCGCGACCCCCCUGUGCUGGGUUUUUUU